RNAcentral lists this long non-coding RNA (324 nucleotides) under Erythranthe guttata (spotted monkey flower). RNAcentral's name for it is "long non-coding RNA (EGUT_LNC000189)". Lineage: Eukaryota; Viridiplantae; Streptophyta; Magnoliopsida; Lamiales; Phrymaceae. The record is from RNAcentral.
CUCUCCCCCUUUCCCCUCUCCGACGAGAUCGUCGCCCUGCUGCCGCCAUUACCGCAAACGGUCGGGUUAUCCCGUGAUUCGGAUUGCUUGCCCGAUUUAGAAAGCGCGAAAGAACGAUGAAUGAUCCGCCGCGAGAGAAAAGACCGCCUCAAUUUCAACGACAUCUCGUUUCUAGAGAGAGAAAGAGAAGGAGAGAGAGAGAUCGACGAGGGGAUCUCUAGAGAGAGAAAAAAAGAAAAAAGCAUUCGAGUCGGAAAAUAAGAAGAAAAUCUGUGGACGGAAAGAGCGCUAAACUGACGCGCCUGUGAGUUAAUUUUUAGCGAC